CACAGGAGUGAUGUUUGCUGAGAAUGGGCCUCCACGCCACGCCACUCCGCCAACCGCCAGGAUGCCCGGCAUCAGAACAUUCCAGGCAUUCCCGUGAUGGGCAGAUAGCAGGUUGAUUGGCAUGUCGGACUCCGCGAACACUGGGUACUGAUUACCUCCGACAUAUGGACAAACUCAGCGGACAACAGUGUUGUUCCCCAGCCUAGAGUUGAGGACGCUGUCCCUUCCCACUGACCUCCACUAGGUCUCCUCUGGUCCUGGCCUGCUCAGUGAUGUCAUCCCCCGGGCCCUUGGCUGCACCAGUCUGGGUCUGGGAAUCCAAUAUGGUCACCCAGUCUCCUCUUUUAGCUUCCAGCCAACCACCUGCAGGAAGAGGUUGCAAAAUAGACUUUACAUAUGUUUUUUUUUUGUCAAUUACCUGGUCAAGUACACACAUUAUAAUGUGUGUUUUUGUAUGUAUA
Oncorhynchus gorbuscha (pink salmon) is the source of this 461-nucleotide long non-coding RNA. RefSeq lists it as uncharacterized. The transcript has 3 exons. Lineage: Eukaryota; Metazoa; Chordata; Actinopteri; Salmoniformes; Salmonidae. The record is from RefSeq and is a predicted model, not a curated record.